AUACGUAGGUGGCAAGCGUUGUCCGGAAUUAUUGGGCGUAAAGCGCGCGCAGGUGGUUCCUUAAGUCUGAUGUGAAAGCCCCCGGCUCAACCGGGGAGGGUCAUUGGAAACUGGGGAACUUGAGUGCAGAAGAGGAUAGUGGAAUUCCAAGUGUAGCGGUGAAAUGCGUAGAGAUUUGGAGGAACACCAGUGGCGAAGGCGACUGUCUGGUCUGUAACUGACACUGAGGCGCGAAAGCGUGGGGAGCAAACAGGAUUAGAUACCCUGGUAGUCCACGCCGUAAACGAUGAGUGCUAAGUGUUGGGGGGUCUCCGCCCCUCAGUGCUGCAGCUAACGCAUUAAGCACUCCGCCUGGGGAGUACGGUCGCAAGACUGAAACUCAAAGGAAUUGGCGGGG
RNAcentral lists this ribosomal RNA (397 nucleotides) under uncultured bacterium. RNAcentral's name for it is "partial 16S ribosomal RNA". It matches the Rfam family "Bacterial small subunit ribosomal RNA", at positions 523 to 918 of the family's 1533-position model. The record is from RNAcentral.